This 1020-nucleotide long non-coding RNA is filed under the name Sorghum bicolor (sorghum). RNAcentral describes it as "long non-coding RNA (SBIC_LNC004884)". The record is from RNAcentral. Lineage: Eukaryota; Viridiplantae; Streptophyta; Magnoliopsida; Poales; Poaceae.
GUGCGGCUAAAAAUGCAAAUUCUUGAUUUUUUUGGAUCUAUUUUUUUUUCAAGAGUUCUCAAAAACUGAUAAUAUGAACAUAGAGGAUCUCAAACAGCAAAAGACUGCACACACUUUUUCUGAAAGUACAGGGGUAUUCCAGUAAAAAGAAAAGAACAAGGGGGAUAAGGAGUAAGGCAAGAUAGGGAGAUGAACAAGGGAGGGCAAUCUAUGCGUGGGGGUGCAGAGUGGCCCUGGAAGGUCGCGGCCCAGGGGGUUCACGGCGUCCGCAAGGAAAACUUUCCACCGAACCAAACCGAAUGACCUUCCUUCUUCCUGUUUCCUUUUUUUGUUUCCUUUUUUGGUGCACUUUCCUUUUUUAUUUCUUUCUAUCUUUUUUUGGACAGGGAGGGGGCGAUCGGAGGGGUGGUAUGUGUAAUAGAACCGUCUAAUUUAUAAGAAUUCAAGUGAAUUAGCGACCACAAGAGCAGUCAAGCCAAUGGACUUGAACCCAUAUAAACCCGGUAGUCCGACGAAACCUCAAAAGAUCUCGAUUCAACCAACAUACAACCAAGACCGUGCAUGAUCAAGCAUCUCCAUCACAGAUUACAACCAUUCAUCACAGAACAUAGUUUAUACAACACAUCGGAGUUCAAAUAGAUUUAAUACAACAUAGUUCAGUAGCGAAAGCAGAGCAGUUUUGAACAACACACACUUAGUUUAAUUACAUGCCAGUUCCAUGAUCAACCCAACAAAAGCAUAGCCGAAGGUAAUAGAAGCGAUCUUGCCCGAGAUCUACUCAUCAUCCGAGCCGGAUGGUGACAGUUAGCACAGUAGCCAUGAUACACGACAUCAUCUGCAACAAGGGUAAAUAAAACCCUGAGUACGAGAAUGUACUCAGCUAGACUUACCUGUCAUAAACCAGAAAUAAAGUGACACCAAGGAGUAUGCAAGGUUAAUAUUUGUGGACUGGUUUGACUCAUAUUUUGCAUAAAAAGCUUUAGUUUUAAGUAACACAUUUACAAUAUUUCAGCAGCAAGU